Molecule: ribosomal RNA, 320 nt
Filed under: uncultured soil bacterium
Lineage: Bacteria
Description: bacterial SSU rRNA
Rfam family: Bacterial small subunit ribosomal RNA
Source: RNAcentral
AGAACGAACGCUGGCGGCAUGCCUAAUACAUGCAAGUCGAACGAACACUUCGGUGUUAGUGGCGCACGGGUGCGUAACGCGUGGGAAUCUGCCCUUGGGUUCGGAAUAACAGUUGGAAACGACUGCUAAUACCGGAUGAUAUCGAAAGAUCAAAGAUUUAUCGCCCAGGGAUGAGCCCGCGUAGGAUUAGCUAGUUGGUGAGGUAAAGGCUCACCAAGGCGACGAUCCUUAGCUGGUCUGAGAGGAUGAUCAGCCACACUGGGACUGAGACACGGCCCAGACUCCUACGGGAGCAGCAGUAGGGAAUAUUGGACAAUGGG